RNAcentral lists this ribosomal RNA (1169 nucleotides) under Serratia marcescens. RNAcentral's name for it is "bacterial SSU rRNA". It matches the Rfam family "Bacterial small subunit ribosomal RNA", at positions 74 to 1252 of the family's 1533-position model. The record is from RNAcentral. Lineage: Bacteria; Pseudomonadati; Pseudomonadota; Gammaproteobacteria; Enterobacterales; Yersiniaceae.
GGGAGCUUGCUCCCUGGGUGACGAGCGGCGGACGGGUGAGUAAUGUCUGGGAAACUGCCUGAUGGAGGGGAUAACUACUGGAAACGGUAGCUAAUACCGCAUAACGUCGCAAGACCAAAGAGGGGGACCUUCGGGCCUCUUGCCAUCAGAUGUGCCCAGAUGGGAUUAGCUAGUAGGUGGGGUAAUGGCUCACCUAGGCGACGAUCCUAGCUGGUCUGAGAGGAUGACCAGCCACACUGGAACUGAGACACGGUCCAGACUCCUACGGGAGGCAGCUGGGGAAUAUUGCACAAUGGGCGCAAGCCUGAUGCAGCCAUGCCGCGUGUGUGAAGAAGGCCUUCGGGUGUAAAGCACUUUCAGCGAGGAGGAAGGUGGUGAACUUAAUACGCUCAUCAAUUGACGUUACUCGCAGAAGAAGCACCGGCUAACUCCGUGCCAGCAGCCGCGGUAAUACGGAGGGUGCAAGCGUUAAUCGGAAUUACUGGCGUAAAGCGCACGCAGGCGGUUUGUUAAGUCAGAUGUGAAAUCCCCGGGCUCAACCUGGGAACUGCAUGAAACUGGCAAGCUAGAGUCUCGUAGAGGGGGGUAGAAUUCCAGGUGUAGCGGUGAAAUGCGUAGAGAUCUGGAGGAAUACCGGUGGCGAAGGCGGCCCCCUGGACGAAGACUGACGCUCAGGUGCGAAAGCGUGGGAGCAAACAGGAUUAGAUACCCUGGUAGUCCACGCUGUAAACGAUGUCGAUUUGGAGGUUGUGCCCUUGAGCGUGGCUUCCGGAGCUAACGCGUUAAAUCGACCGCCUGGGGAGUACGGCCGCAAGGUUAAAACUCAAAAAUUGACGGGGGCCCGCACAAGCGGUGGAGCAUGUGGUUUAAUUCGAUGCAACGCGAAGAACCUUACCUCUCUUGACAUCCAGAGAACUUUCCAGAGAUGGAUUGGUGCCUUCGGGAACUCUGAGACAGGUGCUGCAUGCUGUCGUCAGCUCGUGUUGUGAAAUGUUGGGUUAAGUCCCGCAACGAGCGCAACCCUUAUCCUUUGUUCCAGCGGUUCGGCCGGGAACUCAAAGGAGACUGCCAGUGAUAAACUGGAGGAAGGUGGGGAUGACGUCAAGUCAUCAUGGCCCUUACGAGUAGGGCUACACACGUGCUACAAUGGCGUAUACAAAGAGAAGCGC